Molecule: unclassified non-coding RNA, 1769 nt
Filed under: Leishmania donovani
Lineage: Eukaryota; Euglenozoa; Kinetoplastea; Trypanosomatida; Trypanosomatidae
Description: gene:unknown
Source: RNAcentral
GCGCAUGCGCGUUUUUUUUUCCACUUCCCCCAGCAGCUUUUCUGCACUAUCAUUCUUCCUCUCCGCAAGAGCCACCCUUGACACCGCUAAGAAGAAGAAAGGGGGCCGAUCGAAGAGUGCGACUUCUUCAUUUACUGGCUCCACUUCGCCAUGUAGUACGCCGCCUGCUUGCCUUUGGUUGGAAAUACAGGGUGUGCGAAACACAUGUGUUCCUCAUCCACACCUCACUUGCUGAUAGUCAAGCUCUGCUUCGGGCCUGAGUCAGCCCACAUGUUGACCGCUGGUUCGAGCAGAACCCUCCACGGUGUAUACCAGGCCCUGCGUGCAUUACGCAAGUUGGACAUUUUCUUCAGUGAUGUGACGCUCCACCCCAUUGUGGAUACGGAGAUCGGCACGACCGCCUCUUCGCAGCAGUCCCGGUGCGGACUUCGGGUCGUAAUGACAACGUUAUCAUCGUGAGACAGCGCGCUCGUUGCCCAAGGUUUGCACGUGCAGUCAUCGAGGGCCAUCAGCAACGAGAGGUUCUCCUUUCUCCUCUACCGGAGGAGACUACGAUGAAAGUGUCUUGAGCGGUGCGGCACUCUCUGGCUGGCGCGCUUGUAUCUCACCGCCAAACCAACGCUGCUGUGGGCACCCGUGUGACAGGACGGCACACCAUGAAUGCGCAGAGCAGAACCGGUUGUGCGUCUACUGUGCAGUCGUCCUUUUCUUUAAGAGCCAUUAGCUGUACCAUGCCGCACAGCACCUUACACCCUCAUGCUGUUCUUGGCGUGCGCGCACGGAAAAAGCCCAAAAGCAGCUACGGCAACAGCGCCGGCUGAUGCAGCUCUUUGCGCUGAAGCUGCUACGACCAACUACAUUGCUGCGUUCCAUUAUGUCAAACGAGGCGCAGCGCUUUCCCUCAUGUCUUCUCGCGGAGAUGCACCGCGAAACGAUGUUCGAGUUUCACCAUCGCGCCAGGCCCCCGACGGACGCUCUGCAGAAGCAGCUGCGGGGCAGCGAGGCAGGCUUGUGGGCGGGGUGCGCAGCGCUCGUCGUGUUGACGGAUUGUAUGGGCGAGAGGGACUCAAUGCGGGCCAACUUGAUGACUGGCCGGUGCGCGACACUCCAGCGCCGCAGGAGACUAGUCGACUCAUUUGCGUCAUCUGCGGGUCACAGGAGGGCGAGUUUCUGGAGACAGCUCUUACUACCGCGGCUUCAGCGGCAUAUAGGGGCUCUGGCGUGGCGCUCAUUCAGGAAGUAAACACUAUGCACAGCAAAUGACGUUCGACUCCGCCGUCAUGGGCUUCGCUCCGUUCGGCGCGCCUACACACGUUGACGCUAAGCAGGCCAUCGUCUCGGGUUAUAGAGCUAGAAAGUGCGAGCACGGCGUGAGGAGAGGGCUCUUCGCGUAUCCAUACAAGGGGCAUCUUUCAUCCAUACUGAGCUGGAUGUCGGCCAGUCUCGCCACAGCGUGCGCAAGCACUGUGCUGGAGCUCUACAGCAGGUGUGAGGCGACACUCGCUGCGGAUGCGUGACUUCUGACUUACGACGAAGUGCGCGUGUGGCCACGCGCCGUCAACAUCAGACGCGAGUGGCUGCUAGCCACAGCAGCUUCUCUCCCCCAUCAUCGCCGUGUGACUCUUCGUCUGCACCAUGGUCCGUCUAGCUGCGAAGGAGGUUGGGCGCUCUCUGACCGCAGGUCCGCCGUGAAGAAGCUGCGCCCGCUCCUUGCUCUUUUGAUGACUGCGUCGGCGCAGGAGCGCUGCUGCUGCAGUCGGUCACGAUAC